RNAcentral lists this long non-coding RNA (1140 nucleotides) under Salmo salar (Atlantic salmon). RNAcentral's name for it is "lncRNA (ENSSSAG00000100543.1, ENSSSAG00020048533.1)". The stretch from base 774 to 819 matches the Rfam family "Histone 3' UTR stem-loop". Lineage: Eukaryota; Metazoa; Chordata; Actinopteri; Salmoniformes; Salmonidae. The record is from RNAcentral.
CUCGUUUUCACUGACAAGCGGUACAUGACCAUGUGCCAGUUAGGCCGCAGAGAGAGGCUCGCUUGUUGGCAGCACGGUUUGAUUGUGGGUCAAAAAUCCAGCAGAGCAAGUUUGUAGUAAGGUCUAGUUACAUUUACAUUUUAGUCAUUUAGCAGACACUCUUAUCCAGAGCGACUUACAUUAGUGAGUGCAUACAUUUCAUUAAAAAAAAUUGUACUGGCCCCCUGUGGGAAUCAAACCCACAACCCUGGCGUUGCACACACCAUGCUGGCAUUGCAAACACCAUGCUCUAACAACUGAGCCACAGGGAAGACCAGUUAUUCAAUUGCUAAAUAGUAAUAUACUCUAAAACGCUCUGGUGACAAACAAACUUCACUGCCCUGUUUCCAAUCGUCCACAUGGCUGGGAGAACCUAUUCAAGAAGAUACCUUGUAACUGGUGAUUCCUUCAAAACGAUUUCCUACAGUUACGUGUAGGGCACUGCAAGGUUGGGUGACCAGGGCCAUCUGGGACUGCCUCCUGGAGGAAUUCAGGUGUGUGUGAAGGCUACCUGUGUCCUGCAUAACUUCAUGAGGAUGGACACAAGGACCAGGAGGGGAUCUGCAGCUCGCCGCCGCGUGCCAGAGUAGAAGUCUGCUGCUCUGCAGGAUGUUUCAAGGAUGGGGUCCAACAACGUAGCAAGAGAGGCAAUCCGUGUGCAAGAGAUCUUCACCUCCUACUUCUUCGAAGAGGGUGCUGUUCCCUGGCAACACCAUAGACUACACUAUGCACAACCAAAGGCUCUUUUAAGAGCUAUUCACAUUGCAAUAAGAGUAUUCUUCCAUUUACUGAGCUAUGUCAACUGCAGUUAUUCAAUUCUCAGUUUCUCUCCCUUUGAUUUCUACUUCUCAUGUGAGGGUGCUAUUUAGUAAGCAGGUUCAGGUGUAUAACUGUGGCUCCUUCCACCUUCAAAUAAUAGGCAAGAGGGACAACCGUGGAGAAUAGUUAUAUCAGCUGUGGUUCGUGAACCCCUACUGCAUCUGAACUGGCUGACAGAGAGGGCACAGCAUGAUCAGAGGUAUGAUUUGAUGUGAGGAUGCCAACCCCCAGUCCCGUCAUCGCCACCUCACCCGCUCUUAAGACAACCUUCGGUCCGACGAG